CCUUACCUAGACUUGACAUCUCCUGAAUUACUCUGUAAUGGAGGAAGCCCUUCGGGGCAGGAAGACAGGUGGUGCAUGGUUGUCGUCAGCUCGUGUCGUGAGAUGUUGGGUUAAGUCCCGCAACGAGCGCAACCCUUAUUGUUAGUUGCUACCAUUAAGUUGAGCACUCUAGCGAGACUGCCCGGGUUAACCGGGAGGAAGGUGGGGAUGACGUCAAAUCAUCAUGCCCCUUAUGUCUAGGGCUACACACGUGCUACAAUGGCUGGUACAGAGAGAUGCUAAACCGUGAGGUGGAGCCAAACUUUAAAACCAGUCUCAGUUCGGAUUGUAGGCUGAAACUCGCCUACAUGGAAGCUGGGAGUUGCUAGUAAUCGCGAAUCAGAAGUCGCGGAGAGCGACA
This 400-nucleotide ribosomal RNA is filed under the name uncultured Clostridium sp. RNAcentral describes it as "bacterial SSU rRNA". It matches the Rfam family "Bacterial small subunit ribosomal RNA", at positions 969 to 1365 of the family's 1533-position model. Lineage: Bacteria; Bacillati; Bacillota; Clostridia; Eubacteriales; Clostridiaceae. The record is from RNAcentral.